UUUCAUGGUUCUUAUGUGCUUCU
This 23-nucleotide microRNA is filed under the name Gadus morhua (Atlantic cod). Its description in RNAcentral is "gmo-miR-11272-5p". Lineage: Eukaryota; Metazoa; Chordata; Actinopteri; Gadiformes; Gadidae. The record is from miRBase by way of RNAcentral.